CAGGCUUAACACAUGCAAGUCGAGGGGCAGCAUGGUCUUAGCUUGCUAAGGCCGAUGGCGACCGGCGCACGGGUGAGUAACACGUAUCCAACCUGCCGUCUACUCUUGGACAGCCUUCUGAAAGGAAGAUUAAUACAAGAUGGCAUCAUGAGUCCGCAUGUUCACAUGAUUAAAGGUAUUCCGGUAGACGAUGGGGAUGCGUUCCAUUAGAUAGUAGGCGGGGUAACGGCCCACCUAGUCUUCGAUGGAUAGGGGUUCUGAGAGGAAGGUCCCCCACAUUGGAACUGAGACACGGUCCAAACUCCUACGGGAGGCAGCAGUGAGGAAUAUUGGUCAAUGGGCGAGAGCCUGAACCAGCCAAGUAGCGUGAAGGAUGACUGCCCUAUGGGUUGUAAACUUCUUUUAUAAAGGAAUAAAGUCGGGUAUGGAUACCCGUUUGCAUGUACUUUAUGAAUAAGGAUCGGCUAACUCCGUGCCAGCAGCCGCGGUAAUACGGAGGAUCCGAGCGUUAUCCGGAUUUAUUGGGUUUAAAGGGAGCGUAGAUGGAUGUUUAAGUCAGUUGUGAAAGUUUGCGGCUCAACCGUAAAAUUGCAGUUGAUACUGGAUAUCUUGAGUGCAGUUGAGGCAGGCGGAAUUCGUGGUGUAGCGGUGAAAUGCUUAGAUAUCACGAAGAACUCCGAUUGCGAAGGCAGCCUGCUAAGCUGCAACUGACAUUGAGGCUCGAAAGUGUGGGUAUCAAACAGGAUUAGAUACCCUGGUAGUCCACACGGUAAACGAUGAAUACUCGCUGUUUGCGAUAUACUGCAAGCGGCCAAGCGAAAGCGUUAAGUAUUCCACCUGGGGAGUACGCCGGCAACGGUGAAACUCAAAGGAAUUGACGGGGGCCCGCACAAGCGGAGGAACAUGUGGUUUAACUCGAUGAUACGCGAGGAACCUUACCCGGGCUUAAAUUGCAGAUGAAUUACGGUGAAAGCCGUAAGCCGCAAGGCAUCUGUGAAGGUGCUGCAUGGUUGUCGUCAGCUCGUGCCGUGAGGUGUCGGCUUAAGUGCCAUAACGAGCGCAACCCUUGUUGUCAGUUACUAACAGGUUCCGCUGAGGACUCUGACAAGACUGCCAUCGUAAGAUGUGAGGAAGGUGGGGAUGACGUCAAAUCAGCACGGCCCUUACGUCCGGGGCUACACACGUGUUACAAUGGGGGGUACAGAGGGCCGCUACCACGCGAGUGGAUGCCAAUCCCCAAAACCUCUCUCAGUUCGGACUGGAGUCUGCAACCCGACUCCACGAAGCUGGAUUCGCUAGUAAUCGCGCAUCAGCCACGGCGCGGUGAAUACGUUCCCGGGCCUUGUACACACCGCCCGUCAAGCCAUGGGAGCCGGGGGUACCUGAAGUGCGUAACCGCGAGGAGCGCCCUAGGGUAAAACUGGUGACUGG
Molecule: ribosomal RNA, 1431 nt
Filed under: uncultured bacterium
Lineage: Bacteria
Description: 16S ribosomal RNA
Rfam family: Bacterial small subunit ribosomal RNA
Source: RNAcentral